ACGUACACUCCUACGGGAGGCAGCAGUGGGGAAUUUUGGACAAUGGGCGAAAGCCUGAUCCAGCCAUGCCGCGUGCAGGAUGAAGGCCUUCGGGUUGUAAACUGCUUUUGUACGGAACGAAACGGCCUUUUCUAAUAAAGAGGGCUAAUGACGGUACCGUAAGAAUAAGCACCGGCUAACUACGUGCCAGCAGCCGCGAUAAUACGUAGGGUGCAAGCGUUAAUCGGAAUUACUGGGCGUAAAGCGUGCGCAGGCGGUUAUGUAAGACAGUUGUGAAAUCCCCGGGCUCAACCUGGGAACUGCAUCUGUGACUGCAUAGCUAGAGUACGGUAGAGGGGGAUGGAAUUCCGCGUGUAGCAGUGAAAUGCGUAGAUAUGCGGAGGAACACCGAUGGCGAAGGCAAUCCCCUGGACCUGUACUGACGCUCAUGCACGAAAGCGUGGGGAGCAAACAGGAUUAGAAACCCCUGUAGUCCCAUGA
RNAcentral lists this ribosomal RNA (480 nucleotides) under uncultured organism. RNAcentral describes it as "partial 16S ribosomal RNA". It matches the Rfam family "Bacterial small subunit ribosomal RNA", at positions 329 to 800 of the family's 1533-position model. The record is from RNAcentral.